AGCAGCCGCGGUAAUUCCAGCUCCAAUAGCGUAUAUUAAAGUUGUUGCAGUUAAAAAGCUCGUAGUUGAAUUUCGGGGUUAGUAGGUUGGUCGUGCCACUGGUACGUACUGGUCUCACUGACUCCUCCUUCCUGAUGAACUGUAAUGCCAUUGAUUUGGUGUUGCGGGGAAACUGGACUGUUACUUUGAAAAAAUUAGAGUGUUUAAAGCAAGCUAACGCUUGAAUACAUUAGCAUGGAAUAAUGAAAUAGGACGUCCGAUCCUAUUUUGUUGGUUUCUAGGAUUGACGUAAUGAUUAAUAGGGAUAGUUGGGGGCAUUAGUAUUCAAUUGUCAGAGGUGAAAUUCUUGGAUUUAUUGAAGACUAACUACUGCGAAAGCAUUUGCCAAGGAUGUUUUCAUUAAUCAAGAACGAAAGUUAGGGGAUCGAAGACGAUCAGAUACCGUCGUAGUCUUAACCAUAAACUAUGCCGACUAGGGAUCGGAUGAUGUUAAUUUUUUAAUGACUCAUUCGGCGCCUUA
Molecule: ribosomal RNA, 520 nt
Filed under: uncultured Glomeraceae
Lineage: Eukaryota; Fungi; Glomeromycota; Glomeromycetes; Glomerales; Glomeraceae
Description: SSU rRNA
Rfam family: Eukaryotic small subunit ribosomal RNA
Source: RNAcentral